Silurus meridionalis is the source of this 3274-nucleotide long non-coding RNA. RefSeq lists it as uncharacterized. NCBI's taxonomy places the organism in Eukaryota, Metazoa, Chordata, Actinopteri, Siluriformes, Siluridae. The transcript is spliced from 3 exons. The record is from RefSeq and is a predicted model, not a curated record.
GGCAAUCCCAUGCAGAUGUUCUGGCAUGAGCAUGGAUAUGACACCGCAUUUUAAGAUGUUGUGAUGACAACCUGCUCUAAAGAUUUUAGAAUCGAUUCCAGAAAAAAAAAAAAUGUUUACACAAAAAAAUUACCUUCAAGACUACAACCUUCAAAAUCCUGAAGCUUGUGGCCAGAAAAGUGCCUGAAAAUCUUUUCUUCAGCUACCAUAGAACUUUUUACAAUGUCAAUAAAAUAAAAAAUAUAAAAUGCAACAAUUUCAAAUAUUAAAUAAAUAAAAAUUACUUUAGUGAUUAUUUUGGCAAUCUGCCAGAAUAUCAAGUCAAUAAAAGCACACAGACUCUUGGAUGAAUGUAAAAUUCAACAUGUGGUUAUAUUUUUUGCAAUUAUCUUUAUAGACAUUAUUUGCUUUGUCUCUCUAUCCUUCUAAAUAACCAUUAGGUCAACCAUCAGAUCAACCUUUACUGUCCUCAGAUUUCCCUGUCUUAAUAACACUCAAGGGUCUUUUUGCAGCCCAUCUCAUAGUCUUACUAUAGCAUUGUCUCAUCAGUAAGUUUCCAGCCAGGCUUGGACCAGAUCAUCUGUUUGAUCUGCUAUGUUUCACAUGACUAAACACCACCUCUUUGUCAUGUUGCAAAUGGACAUGCUUACUCACCAUUACUCCAAUUCCAAACUUCCAAAUCAGUUCUGAAUAUAUGAAGCCAUGGACCUCUUUCCAGUCAGUUUAUUGUGGUACAAAUGUACGCAACUUAAGUUAAACAAAACAAAUACCAGCUGAAGAAGCGAGACUACAGUUAAUCUGAUAUGAUUAACCCAGAAUCAUUUCUAUGCAAAAUAAAUGAAACAACUCAGACUUUGUAUAUUGUAUGUGACUAUGUAAUUCAGGCCGAGAAAGUAGAAUUUUUACAUAAUCUUGAAUCAUUUAUAGCCACCCUUUACACAUAAUCUAGUAGUUGUAAACACUCUUUACAUACAAUUCAGAAGUUGUAGAUACUCUUUACAUACAAUCCAGAAGUUGUAGAUACUCUAUACAUACAAUUCAGAAGUUGUAGAUACUCUUUACAUACAAUUCAGAAGUUCUAUCCAAUCCAGGCAACACUUAAAACUGGCCUUUGCCUUAAGAAUAAUGCCAACACUGGAGAAUCACAUGUUUCAAGCAUUCUGUUUGUGAACAUUUUCAUGAAAAAUGUUUGUUUAAAGAAGGUAGCUUUAGCAACUAUUUACUGUUAUCUUCUAAAUUAGGGCUGACAGAAUCUCAUGUGUUUAGUUCUUCAGACAUAUUAGACAUUGCUUUGUCACUCUAUUACUUAAUUACCCUUCGUUACCUACAAUACAAGUAUGGCAAGUCAAAACAUUUCAAGAAUUUAUAGUUAUCUUUCAAGUUUGUAAUGUUUUCUCUAUUGACAAAAUUAAAAGAGCCAGAUAAUAUGAGCUAGGAGAAGGUUUUGAAGAGCAAAGGUGGGUUUUUCACUAAACGUUCAAUGUGCUCAUCUGGGCCAAAUACAUUUUCUCCAAGGCCCUGCUAUCCGAAAUAUUCUAUAUAUAUAAUCUAUUCUAUAUUAUAGUGGAUGGAUGUUGAGUGUCUCAGUGUAAUUUAAAUUAUAAAUUUUUUUUUAAUGAUAUUUGUCCUAAGAUGCAAAAUUACUCGGUUCAUUAUUUUACAAUUAUGCAUGACAUUCUUGGGGUCAAUAUUGUCAAUACAGUCAAUUUAAUGGGGUUCCAAAUGUCUGGUCAUGGUCUAACACCAAACAACUGAAUAUUAAAGCCUUUGCCUAGGCACUGUGUUCCAUUCCACUGGAAAUCUGAUUAGUCUCCAACCUCAAAGGCUUAGUGAUACCAUGUAUUUUCUCAAACUGGAAAAGAUUUGAUCGUCUGUAGGGUAACUUUUAAAAUCAUUUGCAUUCUUUUAAACUUUAAGCCUCAUAUAACUCUGCCUUCUAUCUAGGCCCCUUCUAUUUUUUCCCCUCUUCUUUACUAUUAUGUAUUAUUGUUUUUUGGAUAAUGAUUGUGGUAAUGUUUGUUUGCUCAUGUGAAUACCCAUUUACCCAAACUCUACUUGUAUUUUCAUUAUAUGUGAUAUUUCUAAUGCUAUUUGUGGUUGUAUAAUAAGAAGGAUAAUGUAUAGUAACAUUUUGAAUAACCAUAAUAUGGAAUGUUGCACAACAAAAAGUUCAAAAACAAGAUUCCAAAUUUGCUACCAUAAAUGUAUACAAAAUAUUCAACGUUAUCAAGUAGUGAAGGUCUUAGUUUCUGUUGCUCAAUCCUAUAUGAAAGUAAAACAUACUACUUUUUGCUAUAUAUAUAUAUUGUAAAUAUUUUAAACUAGUGUAACUUGUCACACAGCUGAGGUACAUUCUUUAGGUAUAAAGGAAAAUGAAAGCACACUAAGCUAAGCACACUAAGCUAUAGAAGCGAGCAGGUUGUGGAACUCGACACGUUAAGUAAACUUCUCAGCUGUCCCUGGUCUAAAGGGCUGCCUUGAGCUAAAAUAUUUACUACCGUAUGAGAUUGGAUAAGGAGAACUUGCUUUCAGGUAAUUCUGCAAUGGGACAGAGCAACAGUGGCCACAUAUACUACACUAUGUACCAUGGUACAACAUUGGAUGCAGCAAAAAAAAUCGUGCGUAAAGGUUUCAAACGCUCCUCUGAUGGUAUGCUCGGGCCUGGCAUCUAUCUGAGCAAAAGUGUGGAUAAAGCUGCACGUUACCCUCUAAAACCUAAAGGCAAGAGACUGGCCAUCCUGAAACUGCGGGUACGAGUGGGGGUGGUGAAGACAAUUGACAGGCAGGGCCAUCCUUUUCAGAAAACAUGGCAUUAUUAUGGGUACGACACAGCAUGGGUGCCACCAAACUGCGGCAUGGUGCCAAGCGGCCUGGAAGAAAACUGUGUCUGGGAUCCGAACAGAAUAGAAGUGCUUGAAAUGUGGGAAGUUUCAAGAUCAUGAUGACCUGGUAUGCUUGGUUAUAUGCCUUCCUUCAAAUUAUAUAAUAACAUGCUGAUAUUUUUUCUACUUACUAGAAAGAAACUCUUAGAAUAUAAUAUAAAAAUAAUUAUUAGUUAAUAUUCUGAUAUUUAAGUUUUUUUCGCUGCUAGGCAUCACUGAGCACAAAUAUAUCUUCCUUACAUUAUUUUAUAAUUCUUGCUUCCCGCAUAAGGUCCUGAAUUAAAUUUUUUUUUAUCAGAAAAGUGUAUCAAAUACCAUGCACAAUAUUAUAAGGCUAUUAGCUCUAAACCAGUAGACUUUCCUCAUAAACAACUGGGCAAUAUAAUUUAACA